UUUUUGAGGGAGGGACAAGGAUUAUUUGCCCUAUUUACAGAUCUGAAAAGAGAGUCAGAAAGGCUGAAGGGUCCACAGAAAUCCAGAAGACAUUUCCAGGCUGCCCACAAUGCUGCAUGAAGAAAAGGUCCUGUCUGUGAUAACCACCCUUUCACUGUAUGCUAAGCACUUGGUGUGUGUUACUGCAUCUGAUCUGCACAAGCACUUUGACAGCAAGACCUCAUUAGUCUAGUUUUAAACCACAGACCUAAGAUUCCAAGCAUCUGUUAUCUUGUCCUGUCAAGGUCACACAUAUGGCAUAUUUGUCUGCCUCAAGUCAUCUCGGUGAAGGUACCAUGUAGGUGCCCAGUGACACACUUGUUCUAGACCUCCACUCAAAUGCUAUCCCACUAGAGGUGGCUCUUUUUAACACACAAUCAUCUGUGGCUUUUGCUUCUCUCCUCUGUCUUUUUCUUUGAAACUACUAUACAGAAGAGAGAGAGAGAAAUGUAUACACACACACACACACACACACACACACACACACACACAUAUAUAUAUAUAUAUAUAUAUAUAUAUAUAUAUCAUAUUUGUCCCUUAGUAUUUGUAGGUCCAGGAUUCCCAGAGAAAGCCAAAAUUUAAGGACUGCCAGAUCCCUCAUAUAAAAUGGCUUAGUACUCACCUAUAACCAGUACACAUCCUCAUUAUCUUCCAGUCUUUUCUAGAUGAAUUGUAACACCCAAUUCAAGGUAAAUAUUGCAUAAACAGAUGUUGCAGUGUAUCUUUAGAGAAUGACAACGACAUCUGUAUAGGUUCUGUAUGCAUAAAUUUUUUUCUGAAAUAUUUUCUAUCUGAGGAUGGUUGACUAAGCAGAUAAGGAUCCUGUGAAUACAGACAGCUGACUGAAUAUGUUCAUGUCCUGGCCUGUGUAUGAGGGCAAGUACUGAUGUACAUACGUCUGGGUUCUCCUAGUAUGUGUUUUAUGAAAGCCAAGUCAAGAUCAAGUGUACCUGAUGGAAUUUCACUUCCACUUUAAGACUUCCUGCUACUGGCAAAGGACCCUGGAGUUGAGUUCUGUUUGAUCCCAUGAAAUGGAAUCAAAGGUCUACCUCAGCCAAGCAAAAAAGGUCUGAGUUCUAUUGGAAGGUUUCAGUUACUGUCAAAGGUCAAAGGUCAACUUGAAGGGUCUUGGACCAAACCUGACCCCUGAGCUGAGCUGGAGGAAACCCGACAAGGUUUGUUAUUACAUCUCAAGCUGGAAUUUACCGUUGGAAAAUGCAGCCUUUGUCACCAGCACAAGGAGAACUGCUUUGCAUUUGAUGACAUUUUCAAAACGGUGUGGAAAACCUUGACGUUUUUAUUAGAAAAUCUAUAAAGCCCAAACAAAUGGUUUCAUGCUGCUUUGCCUCAUUCUUCAUAGGUUCAUCGGCAAUCCAUCACCCCUCCCACUUUUUCCCUGCCCUCCCACUCCCCUCGCACCCUUCAAGAACAACAUCUUGCCCAUGAACAAAAGAACUGCUAGGCAGAGCCCUUUCAAGCCUCCAUUGUCCUUUGCCGCUCAACU
Molecule: long non-coding RNA, 1543 nt
Organism: Mus musculus (house mouse)
Lineage: Eukaryota; Metazoa; Chordata; Mammalia; Rodentia; Muridae
Product: predicted gene, 34428
Exons: 3
Source: RefSeq, a predicted model, not a curated record